UACGUAGGGUCCGAGCGUUGUCCGGAAUUACUGGGCGUAAAGAGCUCGUAGGUGGUUUGUCGCGUUGUUCGUGAAAACUCACAGCUCAACUGUGGGCGUGCGGGCGAUACGGGCAGACUAGAGUACUGCAGGGGAGACUGGAAUUCCUGGUGUAGCGGUGGAAUGCGCAGAUAUCAGGAGGAACACCGGUGGGCGAGGGCGGGUCUCUGGGCAGUAACUGACGCUGGAGGAG
RNAcentral lists this ribosomal RNA (232 nucleotides) under uncultured bacterium. RNAcentral describes it as "partial 16S ribosomal RNA". It matches the Rfam family "Bacterial small subunit ribosomal RNA", at positions 524 to 753 of the family's 1533-position model. The record is from RNAcentral.